CCCAGUUACCCUUGGAAUUAGAUCAGGAGUAGGGAACCCAAGGCCAGAUGCGGCCCCUGGUUUUCCUGGAUCCAGCCUGCAAGGCUAAGGGCUCUACCCCAGCACUGGGGAGCCCACACUGGUGCUCCAGUCCUCCCCAUUGCCUCCCCGAGGGGCUGGAGCAGGCAAAAUCUACUAGUCUGGGCCCCACAAAGACUCUGGUGUGAGGAGUGUGAGGAGUGCCUUUCUCCUUCUCAGUCACAGGCCAGGGAAAGCCUCACUGUGGAUUUUGAAGGAUUGACACUUCCCAGAACCUAGGCUGGAACUGAUGGUGACCUCUGUAGCACCACCUCAAAAGUGAUAUAUCCAGGAAUGCACCUAAAAGACUGGAUUGGCAAGCAAUGGAACUACUGCCAGCAGUGCAUUGAGGAUGGAUGUUACAAGAUAGCUUUUUGAGGUACCCAGGAAUAUGGGAGUCUUGUGUGUGUGCCUCCAGUUAACAGAUAAUUAUAAAGGUGAUCAACUAGCUACCCUCUUCCUCAUGUUGCCACAAGCUACUCUACAUGCAAGUGAAGGGCUCCUUCUAUCUGAUAAAUUGAUACACAGGCCAGUUUUUGAACUGCAUGGGAACAAAGUGGAAGCACCGAAGUGAGUCCUCACUGAGAUAAUGAAAGUUUCUGCCAUUUGACUCUUCAUAUGUGGGUUAGUGAAAAUAAACAGCAUAUGUUGAU
Molecule: non-coding RNA, 710 nt
Organism: Pelodiscus sinensis (Chinese soft-shelled turtle)
Lineage: Eukaryota; Metazoa; Chordata; Testudines; Trionychidae
Source: RefSeq, a predicted model, not a curated record